AAAUAUUUGGCACCCAUCGCGCUUCCGAUACUUGGUUUUAUACUUUCAUCGGAACUUCGGGUAUUCUGGUCGAUUCCAUCUUCACCUUCUCCUCUACUUCUCUAUCUUCAACUCCUUCGUCACUUUCCAAUCCCUAAUUCUCUUGCUUCUCCUCUCUUCUAAAUCUCUAAUUUCGAAAACAAGCAUCAAGAACGCACCGACCUUGACAUUUUUAGGAGCUCUCCGAUGGCGAUUUUGAAGAGCUUGUGAUUAUCUGUAGGUUGUAGUGGUAGAAAAAUCGCACCUCUCCUACGGCAGCGAGUUCUCGCAAGCAGGUGGCGCAAUAGGAGGCUGAGCGGUCCAAAUUCGUUGUGAUGAAGGCCGAGCAGGAGCGACGGGCCACGAUUAUCCGCAAUCCGGCAAAGCUAAUCACUGACUACCUCGACUAGAUUUUACAAAUAUUCUUACUUUAUAUUUUUCCCUGUUGCAGAAUAAAUUUAGAUGUUCCCGAAAGAUAUCAGCGAGUUCACCUUGCUCAGUUCUCUGUCAUUCUUGACAUGAUGAGAUUGCAACUUGCUAGCUACAUUUUAUAUUUAUGUACUUUUUAGUUCAUAGUGAUAUUUUCUUGACUUAUUUGCUUAUAUUUUCGUAGUCUUUGAAAAGGUCAAUAUCGAAGGCAACCUUGAAGUGAAUGUCUAGUUUGUUUGGUUCCUUAAUAUAUAUAACUAUUGCAUCAUUAAUUUUGAUUGGUACUUUCUUUUGAAGGAAUUAUGCGUCAACAAAGCAGUGCUGCUGAAAAUCUCAAUCCUUCAAAGCUUAGAAGGAAUGCUUAUGCUGCAUCUGAUAUAAGUAGAAUUGCUUCUCAGGUGGUCGAACACUUCCAGUUCAGUAUACUUUGCCCACCCCUACUGAGAAACUGGACUUGUUAAGGAACUUGGGAGCAAACUUAGCCAUUGAUUAUACAAAGGGGCUGCUUGAAGAUCUAGAAGAAAAAUUUGAUGUAGUAUACGAUAUAGUAGGCAGAGUGAGAUUGAUAGAACAUUGAAGGCUGUUAAAGAAAAUGGGAAAGUUGUGAUAGUAGCAACACAUGGAAGUUCUUCAGAUAUCUUUGUAAUGCUCAUACAAUGUAUAUUCCCUGCCCAUCAUUGACAUAAUUCGGGGUUUUGGAUUGAAUAUAUUGAAAGCCAUGAUGGAAAGAAAGAAGAACAAACUAUGAUCAAGCUUUGUUGUUGAGGUAGAUCAAAUAUUUUAUUGCUGUAUUAGAGGACAAAUUACAGCAUUUAGAUGCUGAUAUGUCAGGUUGCAGUUUUCUUUUUCACUUGUAAACUUUUAUGAAAACAUCAACACUGCUCUACUUUGUGCAAGAGGCAAACAGACACGUGACAAGGAUAGAUGUGUUUAGGAUACACUUAGCAAAAUCAAUAGGUGAUCAACACCCAAAUAAGUUCCCAAGGAAGAGGCUGUGCAGUUGUGCAGGUGAUGAACUGAAAUUAUGUUUCAUUGUCACCCCAACUGCUUGCAUCACACUAGCCACAUAAAAAAUGCCCCACUCUAAUGCUCAUACCUACAUACAUAACAAAGACUCAACCCAACCAUAUCCUUAAACGCUCUGAAAGACCAUAUGCAGCUACAUGUAGC
Vigna angularis (adzuki bean) is the source of this 1617-nucleotide long non-coding RNA. RefSeq lists it as uncharacterized. NCBI's taxonomy places the organism in Eukaryota, Viridiplantae, Streptophyta, Magnoliopsida, Fabales, Fabaceae. The record is from RefSeq and is a predicted model, not a curated record. The transcript is spliced from 4 exons.